RNAcentral lists this ribosomal RNA (505 nucleotides) under uncultured Pseudoclavibacter sp. Its description in RNAcentral is "bacterial SSU rRNA". It matches the Rfam family "Bacterial small subunit ribosomal RNA", at positions 521 to 1024 of the family's 1533-position model. Lineage: Bacteria; Bacillati; Actinomycetota; Actinomycetes; Micrococcales; Microbacteriaceae. The record is from RNAcentral.
UAAUACGUAGGGUGCAAGCGUUGUCCGGAAUUAUUGGGCGUAAGGAGCUCGUAGGCGGUUUGUCGCGUCUGCUGUGAAAAUCCGAGGCUCAACCUCGGACUUGCAGUGGGUACGGGCAGACUAGAGUGCAGUAGGGGAGAAGGGAAUUCCUGGUGUAGCGGUGGAAUGCGCAGAUAUCAGGAGGAACACCGAUGGCGAAGGCACUUCUUUGGGCUGUAACUGACGCUGAGGAGCGAAAGCGUGGGGAGCGAACAGGAUUAGAUACCCUGGUAGUCCACGCCGUAAACGUUGGGCGCUAGAUGUGGGCCACAUUCCACGUGGUCCGUGUCGCAGCUAACGCAUUAAGCGCCCGCCUGGGGAGUACGGCCGCAAGGCUAAAACUCAAAGGAAUUGACGGGGGCCCGCACAAGCGGCGGAGCAUGCGGAUUAAUUCGAUGCAACGCGAAGAACCUUACCAAGGCUUGACAUAUAGAGGAAAAGUUCAGAAAUGUUCUCCCUAGCAAUA